GGUGUCGUGGCCAAGAGGAAGGCGGGAGUCCCAUAAACUCUUAAUCCUGGUUCGAAUCCAGGCGGUACCG
RNAcentral lists this transfer RNA (70 nucleotides) under Lachnoclostridium phytofermentans ISDg. Its description in RNAcentral is "tRNA-Met (CAT) (tRNA-Met-CAT-3-1)". It matches the Rfam family "tRNA". From Rfam's summary of the family: Transfer RNA (tRNA) molecules are approximately 80 nucleotides in length. Their secondary structure includes four short double-helical elements and three loops (D, anti-codon, and T loops). Lineage: Bacteria; Bacillati; Bacillota; Clostridia; Lachnospirales; Lachnospiraceae. The record is from Rfam by way of RNAcentral.